Friedmanniomyces endolithicus is the source of this 82-nucleotide non-coding RNA. The record is from the annotation of a GenBank genome assembly. Lineage: Eukaryota; Fungi; Ascomycota; Dothideomycetes; Mycosphaerellales; Teratosphaeriaceae.
GGCCGGGUCGUCUAAUGGUAGGACAUCGGUUGUCACUUGUGACAUUUCCCAAUGAAUGCAGGUUCGAUUCCUGCCCCGACCA